This 351-nucleotide ribosomal RNA is filed under the name uncultured bacterium. RNAcentral describes it as "bacterial SSU rRNA". It matches the Rfam family "Bacterial small subunit ribosomal RNA", at positions 329 to 694 of the family's 1533-position model. The record is from RNAcentral.
UUCCAGACUCCUACGGGAGGCAGCAGUGGGGAAUAUUGGGCAAUGGAGGCAACUCUGACCCAGCAACGCCGCGUGAACGAUGAAGGUCUUCGGAUUGUAAAGUUCUUUAAGUGGGGACGAAGAAAGUGACGGUACCGAAUGAAUAAGCCACGGCUAACUACGUGCCAGCAGCCGCGGUAAUACGUAGGUGGCAAGCGUUAUCCGGAUUUAUUGGGUGUAAAGGGCGUGUAGGCGGGAAUGCAAGUCAGAUGUGAAAACUCAGGGCGCAACCCUGAGCCUGCAUUUGAAACUGGAUGUCUUGGGUGCUGGAGAGGCAAUCGGAAUUCCGUGUGUAGCGGUGAAAUGCGUAGA